RNAcentral lists this ribosomal RNA (376 nucleotides) under uncultured bacterium. RNAcentral's name for it is "bacterial SSU rRNA". It matches the Rfam family "Bacterial small subunit ribosomal RNA", at positions 524 to 898 of the family's 1533-position model. The record is from RNAcentral.
UACGUAGGUGGCGAGCGUUGUCCGGAAUUACUGGGCGUAAAGGGCGCGUAGGCGGUUAAUUAAGUCAGAUGUGAAAACCCGGGGCUUAACUCCGGGAUUGCAUUUGAAACUGGAUAGCUUGAGUGCAGGAGAGGUAAGUGGAAUUCCUAGUGUAGCGGUGAAAUGCGUAGAUAUUAGGAGGAACACCAGUGGCGAAGGCGACUUACUGGACUGUAACUGACGCUGAGGCGCGAAAGCGUGGGGAGCAAACAGGAUUAGAUACCCUGGUAGUCCACGCUGUAAACGAUGGAUACUAGGUGUGGGAGGUAUCGACCCCUUCCGUGCCGCAGUUAACGCAAUAAGUAUCCCGCCUGGGGAGUACGGCCGCAAGGUUGAA